CCAAACUGGCCAUGGUUACUGUUUGGAGAGGAUGCCCUGUGAAUAGAACACAUAGAGCAUCUGAAUUAUUUCACCACCCAUGGAGGCAUAGGCACAGAACACCAGACACCAAAAACCAAACUCGUAACUGAAGCCUUUGAUUUAGAGUGUAGUCAUUCCAUCCUGGGAGCACUCAUGGAGUAGUAAGGAGCUACUGUUUAAUUUUAGUAAGAAUAAACUGUGUCUUCUCCCACUGCCUACGCUUAAAAUAAAGAGACUUAUAAAGAAACAUCCUUUCCACUGAUUAUUUUUGCAGACUGG
Molecule: long non-coding RNA, 300 nt
Organism: Oenanthe melanoleuca
Lineage: Eukaryota; Metazoa; Chordata; Aves; Passeriformes; Muscicapidae
Exons: 3
Source: RefSeq, a predicted model, not a curated record